Molecule: ribosomal RNA, 543 nt
Filed under: Cryptosporidium ryanae
Lineage: Eukaryota; Apicomplexa; Conoidasida; Eucoccidiorida; Cryptosporidiidae
Description: SSU rRNA
Rfam family: Eukaryotic small subunit ribosomal RNA
Source: RNAcentral
AACGGGGAAUUAGGGUUCGAUUCCGGAGAGGGAGCCUGAGAAACGGCUACCACAUCUAAGGAAGGCAGCAGGCGCGCAAAUUACCCAAUCCUAAUACAGGGAGGUAGUGACAAGAAAUAACAAUACAGAGCCUUACGGUUUUGUAAUUGGAAUGAGUUAAGUAUAAACCCCUUAACAAGUAUCAAUUGGAGGGCAAGUCUGGUGCCAGCAGCCGCGGUAAUUCCAGCUCCAAUAGCGUAUAUUAAAGUUGUUGCAGUUAAAAAGCUCGUAGUUAAUUUUCUGUUAAUUUUUAUAUACAAUGCUACGGUAUUUAUAUAAUAUUAACAUAAUUCAUAUUACUUUUUAGUAUAUGAAACUUUACUUUGAGAAAAUUAGAGUGCUUAAAGCAGGCUAUUGCCUUGAAUACUCCAGCAUGGAAUAAUAUUAAGGAUUUUUAUUCUUCUUAUUGGUUCUAGAAUAAAAAUAAUGAUUAAUAGGGACAGUUGGGGGCAUUUGUAUUUAACAGUCAGAGGUGAAAUUCUUAGAUUUGUUAAAGACAAACUA